RNAcentral lists this ribosomal RNA (461 nucleotides) under uncultured Curtobacterium sp. RNAcentral describes it as "bacterial SSU rRNA". It matches the Rfam family "Bacterial small subunit ribosomal RNA", at positions 920 to 1382 of the family's 1533-position model. The record is from RNAcentral. Lineage: Bacteria; Bacillati; Actinomycetota; Actinomycetes; Micrococcales; Microbacteriaceae.
CCCGCACAAGCGGCGGAGCAUGCGGAUUAAUUCGAUGCAACGCGAAGAACCUUACCAAGGCUUGACAUACACCGGUAACGCCCAGAGAUGGGUGCCCCUUUGUGGUCGGUGUACAGGUGGUGCAUGGUUGUCGUCAGCUCGUGUCGUGAGAUGUUGGGUUAAGUCCCGCAACGAGCGCAACCCUCGUCCUAUGUUGCCAGCGGGUCAUGCCGGGGACUCAUGGGAGACUGCCGGGGUCAACUCGGAGGAAGGUGGGAUGACGUCAAAUCAUCAUGCCCCUUAUGUCUUGGGCUUCACGCAUGCUACAAUGGCCAGUACAAAGGGCUGCGAUACCGCGAGGUGGAGCGAAUCCCAGAAAGCCGGUCUCAGUUCGGAUUGGGGUCUGCAACUCGACCCCAUGAAGUCGGAGUCGCUAGUAAUCGCAGAUCAGCAACGCUGCGGUGAAUACGUUCCCGGGCCUU